GACGAACGCUGGCGGUGUGCUUAACACAUGCAAGUCGAACGGUAAGGCCCUUUCGGGGGUACACGAGUGGCGAACGGGUGCGUAACACGUGAGUGACCUGCCCUCAUCUCUGGGAUAACAGUCGGAAACGGUUGCUAAUACUGGAUAUGAGCUUGCAAGGCAUCUUGUGGGUUGGAAAGAUUUUUUUGGUUGGGGAUGGACUCGCGGCCUAUCAGCUUGUUGGUGAGGUAGUGGCUCACCAAGGCGUCGACGGGUAGCCGGCCUGAGAGGGCGACCGGCCACAUUGGGACUGAGAUACGGCCCAAACUCCUACGGGAGGCAGCAGUGGGGAAUAUUGCACAAUGGACGGAAGUCUGAUGCAGCAACGCCGCGUGCGGGAUGACGGCCUUCGGGUUGUAAACCGCUUUCAAUUGUGACGAAGCUUUUUGUGACGGUAGCAGUAGAAGAAGCACCGGCUAACUACGUG
RNAcentral lists this ribosomal RNA (466 nucleotides) under uncultured bacterium. RNAcentral describes it as "partial 16S ribosomal RNA". It matches the Rfam family "Bacterial small subunit ribosomal RNA", at positions 28 to 507 of the family's 1533-position model. The record is from RNAcentral.